Molecule: ribosomal RNA, 520 nt
Filed under: uncultured Glomus
Lineage: Eukaryota; Fungi; Glomeromycota; Glomeromycetes; Glomerales; Glomeraceae
Description: SSU rRNA
Rfam family: Eukaryotic small subunit ribosomal RNA
Source: RNAcentral
AGCAGCCGCGGUAAUUCCAGCUCCAAUAGCGUAUAUUAAAGUUGCUGCAGUUAAAAAGCUCGUAGUUGAAUUUCGGGACCAAUAUGUUGGUCGUGCCUCGGUACGUACUGGCAUCGUUGGUUUCUCCCUUCUGACAAACCCUGAUGUCAUUUAUUUGGUGUCGUGGGGAAUCAGGACUGUUACUUUGAAAAAAUUAGAGUGUUUAAAGCAGGCUCACGCUUGAAUACAUUAGCAUGGAAUAAUGAAAUAGGACGUUUGAUUCUAUUUUGUUGGUUCCUAGGAUCGACGUAAUGAUUAAUAGGGAUAGUUGGGGGCAUUAGUAUUCAAUUGUCAGAGGUGAAAUUCUUGGAUUUAUUGAAGACUAACUACUGCGAAAGCAUUUGCCAAGGAUGUUUUCAUUAAUCAAGAACGAAAGUUAGGGGAUCGAAGACGAUCAGAUACCGUCGUAGUCUUAACCAUAAACUAUGCCGACUAGGGAUCGGAUGAUGUUAAUUUUUUAAUGACUCAUUCGGCGCCUUAA